ACGUAGGAAGCGAGCGUUAUCCGGAUUUACUGGGUGUAAAGCGCGUGUAGGCGGUUUGGCAAGUUGGAUGUGAAAGCUCCUGGCUUAACUGGGAGAGGUCGUUCAAAACUACCAGACUUGAGGAUGGGAGAGGGAGGCGGAAUUCCGGGUGUAGUGGUGAAAUGCGUAGAUAUCCGGAGGAACACCAGUGGCGAAAGCGGCCUCCUGGCCCGUAACUGACGCUCAGACGCGAAAGCUAGGGGAGCGAACGGGAUUAGAGACCCCGGUAGUCCUAGCUGUAAACGAUGUGAACUUGGCGUUGGCGGGUUUGAAUCCGUCAGUGCCGAAGCAAACGCGAUAAGUUCACCACCUGGGGACUACGGCCGCAAGGUUA
This 373-nucleotide ribosomal RNA is filed under the name uncultured bacterium. RNAcentral's name for it is "bacterial SSU rRNA". It matches the Rfam family "Bacterial small subunit ribosomal RNA", at positions 525 to 896 of the family's 1533-position model. The record is from RNAcentral.